RNAcentral lists this small nuclear RNA (108 nucleotides) under Phocoena sinus (vaquita). The record is from RNAcentral. Lineage: Eukaryota; Metazoa; Chordata; Mammalia; Artiodactyla; Phocoenidae.
GUGCUCACUUCGGCAGCACAUUUACUAAAAUUGGAACGAUACAAAGAAGAUUAGCAUGGCCCCCUGUGCAAGGAUGACACGCAAAUUCGUGAAGCAUUCCAUAUUUUU